UCUGCAGUCGAGCGGAAGAAGGGAGCUUGCUCCCGGAUGUUAGCGGCGGACGGGUGAGUAACACGUGGGUAACCUGCCUGUAAGACUGGGAUAACUCCGGGAAACCGGAGCUAAUACCGGAUAGUUCCUUGAACCGCAUGGUUCAAGGAUGAAAGACGGUUUCGGCUGUCACUUACAGAUGGACCCGCGGCGCAUUAGCUAGUUGGUGAGGUAACGGCUCACCAAGGCGACGAUGCGUAGCCGACCUGAGAGGGUGAUCGGCCACACUGGGACUGAGACACGGCCCAGACUCCUACGGGAGGCAGCAGUAGGGAAUCUUCCGCAAUGGACGAAAGUCUGACGGAGCAACGCCGCGUGAGUGAUGAAGGUUUUCGGAUCGUAAAGCUCUGUUGUUAGGGAAGAACAAGUGCAAGAGUAACUGCUUGCACCUUGACGGUACCUAACCAGAAAGCCACGGCUAACUACGUGCCAGCAGCCGCGGUAAUACGUAGGUGGCAAGCGUUGUCCGGAAUUAUUGGGCGUAAAGGGCUCGCAGGCGGUUUCUUAAGUCUGAUGUGAAAGCCCCCGGCUCAACCGGGGAGGGUCAUUGGAAACUGGGGAACUUGAGUGCAGAAGAGGAGAGUGGAAUUCCACGUGUAGCGGUGAAAUGCGUAGAGAUGUGGAGGAACACCAGUGGCGAAGGCGACUCUCUGGUCUGUAACUGACGCUGAGGAGCGAAAGCGUGGGGAGCGAACAGGAUUAGAUACCCUGGUAGUCCACGCCGUAAACGACGAGUGCUAAGUGUUAGGGGGUUUCCGCCCCUUAGUGCUGCAGCUAACGCAUUAAGCACUCCGCCUGGGGAGUACGGUCG
RNAcentral lists this ribosomal RNA (850 nucleotides) under uncultured bacterium. RNAcentral's name for it is "bacterial SSU rRNA". It matches the Rfam family "Bacterial small subunit ribosomal RNA", at positions 54 to 888 of the family's 1533-position model. The record is from RNAcentral.